This 993-nucleotide long non-coding RNA is filed under the name Homo sapiens (human). RNAcentral describes it as "long non-coding RNA NONHSAT166621.1". The record is from RNAcentral. Lineage: Eukaryota; Metazoa; Chordata; Mammalia; Primates; Hominidae.
CGGAACUGGCUGUUGGUGGGGGUGCAGCACUGAGCCGCCGACGGGGCGGGUGGGCUUUGCUGCCGAGCAGGCGGCGCCGUCUUGGGGCCUAGCGGCGAGGCGACCCGCACAGUACUGUAAGAUUGAUGUUAAAGGCAUGGUGUUCACCCCACUUCAUCAGCGUACAUAAGUUAUCUCUUCUUUUGGACCCUUAUUUUAUGCCAUAAUGCAACAAGCUUUAGAACUAGCUUUGGAUCGUGCAGAGUAUGUCAUUGAAAGUGCCCGACAGAGACCUCCUAAAAGGAAAUACCUAUCAAGUGGAAGAAAAUCUGUAUUUCAAAAACUUUAUGACUUGUAUAUUGAAGAAUGUGAAAAAGAACCUGAAGUUAAGCAGAAAUUAAGAAGAAAUGUGAACUUGUUAGAGAAGCUUGUUAUGCAAGAGACUUUGUCAUGUUUAGUGGUCAAUCUAUACCCAGGAAAUGAGGGAUAUUCUCUGAUGCUCAGGGGAAAAAACGGAUCAGAUUCCGAGACCAUUCGACUGCCCUAUGAAGAAGGAGAGUUGCUUGAAUAUUUGGAUGCAGAAGAAUUACCUCCUAUUUUGGUUGAUCUCCUAGAAAAAUCUCAGGUUAAUAUUUUUCAUUGCGGAUGUGUCAUAGCAGAAAUACGUGACUACAGGCAGUCCAGUAACAUGAAAUCUCCUGGUUACCAAAGUCGGCACAUUCUCUUACGUCCAACAAUGCAGACUUUAAUUUGUGAUGUACAUUCAAUAACAAGUGAUAACCACAAAUGGACCCAGGAAGACAAACUUUUGCUUGAGAGCCAGCUCAUCCUAGCUACAGCUGAACCACUCUGUCUUGAUCCUUCUAUAGCAGUCACCUGCACUGCAAACAGACUGCUCUAUAACAAGCAAAAGAUGAACACUCGCCCAAUGAAACGGUGUUUCAAGAGGUAUUCCAGAUCCUCUCUGAAUCGGCAGCAAGAUCUAUCUCAUUGUCCACCUCCUCCUCAGCUGAG